Molecule: unclassified non-coding RNA, 210 nt
Filed under: rhizosphere metagenome
Description: partial ribosomal RNA internal transcribed spacer region
Source: RNAcentral
GUUGGUGAACCAGCGGAGGGAUCAUUACCGAGUUUUCAACUCCCAAACCCCUGUGAACAUACCUAUCGUUGCUUCGGCGGACACGCCCCGGCGCCCCCGGGCCCGGACCAAGGCGCCCGCCGGAGGUAUCUAACUCUUGAACUUUUAUGGCCUCUCUGAGUCUUUGUACUUAAUAAGUCAAAACUUUCAACAACGGAUCUCUUGGUUCUG